AGUGAACGCUGGCGUUAGGCCUAACACAUGCAAGUCAAACGGCAUCACAGUAAGAUCUUGCUCUUACGGGUGGCGAGUAGCGGACGUGUGAGGAAUACAUCGGAAUCUACUUUUUCGUGGGGGAUAACGUAAGGAAACUUACGCUGAUACGGCAUUCGACCUACGGGUGAAAGCGUGUGUUCUUCGGACCUUGCGCGAUCGAAUGAGCAGAUGUCGGAUUAGCUAGUUGGCGGGGUAAUGGCCCACCAAGGCGACGCUCCGUAGCUGGAGUGAGAGGAUGAUCAGCCACACUGGAACUGAGACACGGUCCAGACUCCUACGGGAGGCAGCAGUGGGGAAUAUUGGACAAUGGGCGCAAGCCUGAUCCAGCCAUACCGCGUGGGUGAAGAAGGCAUUCGGGUUGUAAAGCCCUUUUGUUGGGAAAGAAAAGCAGCAGGUUAAUACCCCGCUGUUCUGACGGUACCCAAAGAAUAAGCACCGGCUAACUUCGUG
Molecule: ribosomal RNA, 492 nt
Filed under: uncultured bacterium
Lineage: Bacteria
Description: partial 16S ribosomal RNA
Rfam family: Bacterial small subunit ribosomal RNA
Source: RNAcentral